CCUACGGGUGGCAGCAGUGGGGAAUAUUGCACAAUGGGGGAAACCCUGAUGCAGCGACGCCGCGUGAGUGAAGAAGUAUUUCGGUACGUAAAGCUCUAUCAGCAGGGAAGAAAAUGACGGUACCUGACUAAGAAGCCCCGGCUAACUACGUGCCAGCAGCCGCGGUAAUACGUAGGGGGCAAGCGUUAUCCGGAUUUACUGGGUGUAAAGGGAGCGUAGGCGGGAGUGCAAGUCUGGAGUGAAAUCCCAUGGCUUAACCAUGGAACUGCUUUGGAAACUGUGCGGCUAGAGUGCAGGAGAGGUAAGCGGAAUUCCUAGUGUAGCGGUGAAAUGCGUAGAUAUUAGGAGGAACACCAGUGGCGAAGGCGGCUUACUGGACUGUAACUGACGUUGAGGCUCGAAAGCGUGGGGAGCAAACAGGAUUAGAUACCCGAGUAGUC
RNAcentral lists this ribosomal RNA (440 nucleotides) under uncultured bacterium. RNAcentral describes it as "partial 16S ribosomal RNA". It matches the Rfam family "Bacterial small subunit ribosomal RNA", at positions 338 to 795 of the family's 1533-position model. The record is from RNAcentral.